This 457-nucleotide ribosomal RNA is filed under the name uncultured Pseudomonas sp. RNAcentral describes it as "bacterial SSU rRNA". It matches the Rfam family "Bacterial small subunit ribosomal RNA", at positions 8 to 466 of the family's 1533-position model. The record is from RNAcentral. Lineage: Bacteria; Pseudomonadati; Pseudomonadota; Gammaproteobacteria; Pseudomonadales; Pseudomonadaceae.
AGAGUUUGAUCCUGGCUCAGAUUGAACGCUGGCGGCAGGCCUAACACAUGCAAGUCGAGCGGUAGAGAGGAGCUUGCUCCUCUUGAGAGCGGCGGACGGGUGAGUAAUGCCUAGGAAUCUGCCUGGUAGUGGGGGAUAACGUUCGGAAACGGACGCUAAUACCGCAUACGUCCUAAGGGAGAAAGCAGGGGACCUUCGGGCCUUGCGCUAUCAGAUGAGCCUAGGUCGGAUUAGCUAGUUGGUGAGGUAAUGGCUCACCAAGGCGACGAUCCGUAACUGGUCUGAGAGGAUGAUCAGUCACACUGGAACUGAGACACGGUCCAGACUCCUACGGGAGGCAGCAGUGGGGAAUAUUGGACAAUGGGCGAAAGCCUGAUCCAGCCAUGCCGCGUGUGUGAAGAAGGUCUUCGGAUUGUAAAGCACUUUAAGUUGGGAGGAAGGGCAGUUACCUAAUACG